CCAUUACAACACACAUAUAAAAUUAUCAACACUUUUGAAAUUAUGAUACCACUUACUUUGACCCUGAUACAGGGAGCAACUGUCUUACCUCUUUUAUUUUUAUAAAUUUGUCAGCACUUUAUCUGGAAUAGAAGUGUAAUGCAUCUUUUUUAGUUCAUAGAUAAGAAACCUCUCUCUUUAUACAGCAAUGAAGAUGGGCAACGGUACAGUAUAAUUCUAAUACAAAUGGUAUAAUAAAAUCCCACUUCAAGGAGAAUUAAGUGAAAAAUAGAAAGUAAGUCUGCCAAACGUAUUUUGAUAACAGGAGCAAGAAUACUUGACAUUAGAUUGUUAUAUGUUAAGAUAAGCAGCUACUACCUCAUUUGAACAUUACCAGUGCUUCUUUAUACAUCAAAGGUCUGUUGCCAGUUUCCAGAACAUAAAUUAUAAUGGAACUGUUCUGUAAUGGCAUCACCAGUACUGUGUGAAUAUAGCACAAGUAUGGUAUAAAUGUGAUACCUGAUAACGUUCUUCAAGCCACCAAAUAAUCACAAGUCAUGUCUUUGUUUUAAACUGAGAAACAAUCAGAGUUUAACCAAAUGAUCACAGCUCUGCUCUCCAGUGACUAGCCUAAUGCUUUAGACAAUAUUUUGGGUUGUCCAAGGCUAUUUUUUCUCUACUCCUCGGUAACUGGCCAAAACAGUCCACUUCACUGUUCAGCCUCUGUUUGUUAGGUGCCCAGUUAGCUUUCAAAAACCUCUAGAAAUCCUGAGUCUGGAAAUUUCGGUGAUUAAACUCUUGCCUGAGCUACUUUAUGAUCUAAAUGCGUCCAAAGGAAUCUAAAUGCCACCUAAUUCCAGGUCAGAAGAUAAAUUCUCUUUCUCUCUCAAAAAUAAAAAAACCCCCCAUUUUUUCCAGGAAUAUCUACUCCUGAAUAGAGCCUAAUCAUGAAGUUGAAGCCGCAGAAGUGGCUGCCUGCAGAAGUGUUGAGGAGCUCAGACAGACCUCUUCUCCUGUGGCAUCUCUGGGCAGCUGCCUUUGCAGCAUGCAGUCUUUGGAGAUCAGCUCUCUUCCCUCCACUGAAUUCACAGGAAUCUCACACAGCACCCAGCUGGGUGGGCUCUUGUCUCUUUGUCAGUGCUGGGUGCCUCCAGUCACAGUGCUCCACAGUAGGAGCUUGCCCCUUGAUAACCUACAGGACAAUGUGUGAGUUUUCUUUGGUGAUGUCUUAUUGUCAUUCUUCUUCCUCCAGCUACGUUUAUUGCCAAUUAGAAAAAUAGUAUAAAAUAAAAUGCACAGACACAGAGUCUAUAUCCACACCUUCUGGGGAGUGCACUGGUGAGAGACCUUGGGACUGCUGUCAAACAUGGAGCUGGCUGGUGACUCCCCUGCCUUAGGGUAAUGCUGUCUGCCCUAGCCUAAUCCAGGUGUCUGCCGGCACCCUGUGACUUUGGGACAUUACUCUCCACAGAAUUCUGUGGACUUCUGGUGUAAAGUGACUUCUCAGUGUAAAGCAGGUCCGAGCCUACAGCAGAGGGGUUCUCUAGCAUGAUUCUGACAAUGAGUGUUGUGUGACAUGGGAGGGUGCAUGAUGGCAUGUGGAUGCUAGGUUGUACAAGGACUUGUGGGAGAGUUUACAGGAUUGCUCAAUGCAGAAUUAGCCACGGCCAGGUGGCUUAUUUGUCAUGCAUCCUUCAGCAAACUGGCCUAUCAACUGCACUAAGAUUUCCCUCCACAGGAAAACAAGUAACUUACUGGAGAAGGGGUUUGGGUGUGAACUAGCAUGGAUACAGCAAAGACGUGAGGGUGACCACGUUACAGGAAUAAAAGUAGACUAACAGUGUCUGGUGUCACAGCCUUCAUUGCAGACUUAAACACAGCUCCUACACUCUUAAUAUCCAACCCAUCUAUCCUAACAAGCUCUUGUCUGAGUCUGAUGGUGGUUUCAAGCCAGGCUGCCAACCCUAUCACAGUGUUUGGCUAGCAGCACUUCGCAGUACCUUCCCUUCAGCUGAUACUUCUCCAGGUCUGCAGUUAGGCAUGAUGACAGGGAAUACCAUCCUCUGAAUCCUGAUGUUCUUCUAACACUUCAUCACAGUUAUCCCCUGGGCUGCAGAAAACCAAAGUGUUAUCCCAGCAUUCAGUGGAAAAAAGUCACAGCCAAACUUACUAGAACUGAAUGGGGUAAGGGAUGGCAAAGGCAACAGAAGGGCUACUAUAAGAACAUAGGUGACAAGAGGAAGGCUAGCCAAAAUGUGGGCCCACUGCUCAAGGAGACUGGGGACCUGGUUAUGCAGGACAUGAGGUACUUCAUGUCUUCUUUGCCUCAGUCUUUACUAGCAAAACCAGCCUCCAAGAAUCAGAGACCGGGGGAAAGGUUGGAGCAAGAAAAAUGUACCCUUGGUGGAAGAGGAUCAGGUCUUGGAGCACUUAAACACACCAGACAUGCAUAAGUCCGUGGGGCCGGAUGAGAUACGCCCUCAAGUGCUGAGGAAGCCAGCAGCUGUCUCUGUGAAUUGUGAGUCCACUCGCAAUGAUCUUAGAUCAAUCAUGGCAAUUGGAAGAACUUCCCAAAGGCUGGAGAAAAGCAAGUAUCACUCCAACCUCCAAGAAGGGAAGAAGGACUCAAGCAACUAGAGACUGCUCAAACUCACCAUGAUCCCUUGGAAGGUGAUGGAACCAUCCUGAAAAUAAUUUCCUAGCACCUGAAGGACAAGAAAGUUAUCAAAGGGUAGUCAGCAUGACUUCAUCUAAGGAAAGUCAUAUUUGACCAACUUGAUAACCUUGUAUGCUGAAAUGACUGUCAGGAUAUAUGAGAGGAGAGCAGUGGGUAUUUUAUACCUGGGCUUCAGUAAGGCUUUUGAUACUGUUGAAUUAUGGGUUGGAUGACCAAACAGUGAGGUGGAUUCAAAACUGGCUGAAAUUGCUGGGCCCAGAGGGUGGUGGUCAGUCUCAUGAAGUCUAGUUGGAGGCUUCUCACUAGUAGCAUACCUCAGAGAUCCAAUCCUGUUUAACAUCUCCAUUAAUGAUCUGGAUGACAGGGCAGAGAGCAUCCUUAGCAAAUUUGUAGAUGACACAAAACUGGGAAGAUUGACUGGUAUGUCAGGGUCGUGCUGCCAUCCAGAGGGACCUUGAGAGGCUGAAGAAAUGAGCUGCCAAAAACCUCAUGAAGUUCAACAAAGGGAAGUGAAAAGUUCUACACCUGAGGAGGGAAAUAUCCCAGGUGCCAGGGCAUGCUGGGGGUUGCCCAGCUGGAGAGAAAGUAUUGCUUUCCAGAGGGUCAAGGGAAGUGAUCAUUCUCCUCAGCACUUGUGGCAUUGUCCUCAGCACAAGGGGAUUGCUGUGUCCAGCUCUGGGCUCUCCAGUACAAGAGGACACAGACAUUUUGGAGGCAUUCCAAUGAAUGUCCAUGAAGAUUGUUAAGGGGCUGGAGCACCUCUCGUGUGAGGACAGGCUGAGGGAGUUGGGACUGUCCAGCCUGGAGAAGAGAAGGCUCAGGGGGAUCUUAUCAAUGUAUAAAAAUACCUGAAUGGAAGGUGCAAAGAGGACAGAGACAGGCUCUUUUCAGUGGUGACAAGGCAAGUGGUAAGGGGCACAACCUGAAACUCAGGAGGCUCCUUUUAUAUAUUAAAAAAUACUUUACUGUGAGGAUGAUCAAGCACAUGCACAGGUUGUCCAGAGAGUUUGUGGAGUCUCUGUCCUUGGAGACAUGUCAGUUGUCCAGGCAUGGUCCUGGGCAACUGGCUCUAGGUAUGCCUGCUUGAGGAGGAGUGUUGGACCAGCUUCUGGGGGUCCCUUAGAACCAUUAACACUUUGUGACUGUGAAGCUCCUUAAAGAACCACGUUCCCCCAUAAGUCCUAAUGGUUUGAGGAGCCCCAAGCCAGUGAAGAUGACAUGUCACAAGUGCAGCACAGUUAUGCACAUGCUGGGUCAGCUCAUCAGCUACAUUGGUUGGAAAGGGGAACCUGUAAGAGAGCCUUGGACCUUCAAAUGAGGGCAAACCUCACAGCCAAGGCAGGCUGAUGUUUGUCACAGCAAAGACAAAAAGUAGUGUUUUUGAGGACUAUUAGCAGAGUUAAUGUUUACAGUAGCAUGCUUUUUCAUAAAGAAAGGGGUCAAAUUAAGAGCAUGGGCUACUGUAUUUUCUUUGUUUAGCAGCUGGGGAUCAAAACACGUUCUUACCAUGUAAAUGAGGGGUGAAAUAACAGACCCUUUUACACUCUUUUUUGAACAGACAGGAUUACAGCAUAGAUUGUGUUGUGAAACAAAGAAUAGCUCCACAGGACCCAUGACUCUUUCUAUGAAUCAUUCUGUCCCCCCCCUCCCCUUCCCAUAUAUCCUUUUUUUUCUGUAAUUUUGUUAAGGGUAAAUAUCUUCUAGAUGGGAAUGCCAUGUUAACUGAAUGGCUAGACUUAAAAAUGGCUAAAGUUGGCCAUUUACUAGCUCCAAUUUUAUUUAAUAAGUAGCAACUGAAAACAGUUAUUUGCCUUCCUACUUGGAGACAGAAAAUACCCUUAAACCAUAGGCAUACGCAUUGUCAAAAUUAUAAACAUAUCCUUCCCCUAAAGUGGCAAAUAGAAAUAAAAGUCAUAAUACACCUCCAAUAUCAGGAGAGAAAUUAGGGUGGAGGGCCUGGAGAGAUGGGAUAUAUGUUUUUCUACAUAAUGUUAUGUCAACAACAGCCUUGUGUGAAGAGAAAUUAUAUAUGGAGCCAUGGUGAAAUUUACAAGAACUUCUGUGGAGAACCUGAAAUGCAUAACAGAACAAAAAAAAGAUUUGGAGUUUACGUCACACUUAGAAAUCAGAGGAAACAAGCUAAUGCAGCUAAUUCAUGCUAAUACUGGCAGAGAAAGGAUUGCAGGUGUAUCUAAGGACUGCUUGGAGGGCAUUAAUGGACAUUGUUUCUCUCUAACUUUCAAUGGGCGGUUUAUCAAAUACUCCCUGACAUGCUUUGGGGUGAAUGCUUCUUUUUGUGCAUCUGAGGUGCUCAGUUCAUAUUCCCAAGGGCCAGUUUUGCUCCUUGGAGCAAAACAGGUGCAGUUAUGAGUCUGCCCUGACUGGACUAGCUUCUUUGGUCUUUGCCUAACAUCCAGUGAUUUACAAAAUCAUCUUUUUCCUGACCUUCUCUCCCAGGAACAGGGACACAGCAGAUAGCACAGAAAGAUAGCUUCAAGAAAGAAAAAUGCUAUUUAGCUGUUGUAGCCUGCUCUUUCUCUCCUGAAAUGCUAAGUGGCUGGUCACAAUCUGGCCCAAAGCACAUUCACUGGCAGUAAUACUGUCAGAUAUUAUGUAUCACAUAUUACUUUGAAGAAAUUUCUUGGACUCAGUAAUUAUUUCACUAGUGUUUUGUUUCAAGUCUUAAAAAAUGCCUAAGUGAAGGAAUUUGAUUUUUCAUGCAUAUAAGUAAUUUUAGGAAGCUGUGGCACUUUUGUACAGAAGAUGAUGCUUUGGGAGCUUUUUGCAGGAUGAAUACCUGCUAUAAAUAUUAUUUCUGUGUUUGAGCUUAUUAAAAUGUGAAAUGGUAACCCUUGAAUGCAUACAUAUAUCCCAAGUAUUUUUCUGGGAAUUGUUUUUUCAUAUUAUUCUUCCUGACUUAUUGAAUCAGAGAAUCCUUUAGGUUGGAAAAGAUAUUAAAGAUAUUCAAGAUCAUCAAGUCCAACUGUUAACCCAGAACUGCCAAGUCCACAAUUAAAAAACCUGGCACCAUGUCCCCAGGUGCCACAUUUACACAUCUUUUCAACACCUCCAGGGGUGGGGACUCCACCACUUCCCUGAGCAGCCUGUUCAAAUGCCUGAUCAACCUUUCAGUGAAGAUGAUUUUCCUAAUAUCCAAUCUAAACCUCCACUGGAAGAACUUGAGGCCAUUUCCUCUUAUCCUAUUGCUUGUUUCUUGGGAGAAGAGAGCAACAUCCAGCUCACUGCUGCUUCCUUUCAGGUACUUGCAGAGAGUGAUAAGGUUCCCCCUGAACCUCCUUUUCUCCAGGCUAAAUACUCCCAGCUGCCUCAGCCACUCCUCAUAGCAUUUGUGCUCCAAUCCCUCCACCAUCUCCAGUGCCCUUCUCUGGACACACUCCAGCACCUCAAUGUCUUUGAGAUGCUGUUGACUUGCAAAUCAACAAUAAACAGGGGCAGAUUCUUAUGGACAAGGAAAAUGAAAACAGAAAAAGGGGAAGAAGGAAGGAGAGGAGAGGUGAGGAGAAGAGAAGGAAAUGGAGGAGGAAAAGAGAUCUAACACAUUGAUCAGUGAAUGCAAGCCUUAAAAGAACCUGAGGACUGGUCACAGGGAAAACACAAAGCAGGUACAGCUUUAUGUAGGAGAUCCAGUCACAAACAAGACACUCAACUCAUCAAAAGACAUUUCUACAUUUCUAUGUGCUUACAUUUCUGAAGUACCAUCUGCAGAAGAAAACAAGGUUUUCCUUUUAGUAAGUACACAGCACAUCAAGGCUGAACAAUUCGUUAAUGUGAACAUUUGAGAGAAGAGCGAUUACAGCAAUAAAGGUUCUGACACAUCAAUUAAAGUAGUUGGGUUAGACUAAAAGAAUAUUGUAAAACACCCAUGUGCCCAACUUUGUAGACAAAAUCCAUACGACUGGGGGGGUGACGGGGGUGGCUUUGUGAUCACGUAACCAAGGAUUGUGAAAGUGGGAGCACACCUGGGUUAGCAUGGGUUUUGUUGCUGGUUUUGUGAAUGCAGGUUUAGCUGCACACACAGCCCCAGGAAGCCCAUGGUCCCGGGGAGACCGGGGACAGAAGCUUUGCUCUUACACAGGCUUUAACAGUUUUGCUAAGAAAAUCCAGUGAGGGUUUUUGGACAGAAAAAUUGCAGGAUUUAGCUGGAAUGUGAGGAAUCUUUGGGUCCCUAGUUAAUUAUGAUCUGCUUUGUUACAGUAACAGAAAUAGUGCUAGAGAAAAGGAGACAGUUCUUGUCUUGAAUAGUAUGCGCUGCUAUUAUUGUUUUAUUUGUAUUCUUCCUCCUUAAAAGUAGCUGCUGUUUACGAAGUAUUCACAGUGAAUCCAAACAGUAGGAUGGAGACCAAGAUUGACUAAGUGAAACCUGCCCUAAGUGUGCACCCAAGAGAUCAACUGAAAUCAAUUUGUCCUGCAAAGAUGCCUCCUGCUUCAUAAAGCUCUUCACAGCCUUGGACCUCCCCAGGAAGCCUGCAUACCUGUUUUCUUAAUUGACUUUGGUUACUACCAGAACUGUUAAUUAUUAGUCAGCUUUUCGGAUGGGGAACCAGCUGUGUUGUUUAUCUGGCCGAUGUUCUGGUCUCCGUGCCUGCUGAUCCUUGACAUGGUGCCAGCCCAUGUGUUGAGAAUUACAUGGCAGGAACAAAUUCUCUUCUUCUCUAGCCAUGUUGGCUGUCCAGGUCCCUGUCUGCCACAAGGAUGAAGAAUGUCAGGUUCCAGAUCCAAAAAUCCUUCCUGCUCCCUCCUCUGUGCUACAGCCCACGCUGGCCUAGUUUUGAAUCAUGCUGGAAAAUGGAUAAAAGCAGCUAAAAUUUCCUUCCUGUGUAAAGUCUGAAGUGAGUCACGGAGGUGAACAUCUCUUCCUACUAGCAGCCCAAGCCUACAUUGACCUGGAAGAGCAUUUAUAUGAGCAUGAACCAAGACAGAAGGAAGGGUAGGUAGAGGCUCCCUCUGAGCAGGAGAAAUGGUGCACCUGACAGAGCUGAAGGCAGCUGGACUCCAAACAUGCCUAAAAGUCUUCCUGAACUACAGCCUUACAGCUGCCAUCUCAAAUUGCUCUCAAAACAAGAUCUCACAUCCCAUGUUUGUGACAACUCUCCACACCAAAACAACCUGAGUUUAAGACUACUCCAUGCUGGAAACAGAUGUACCUUUGAGGCUAAUGUAAUGGACUCUGUGUUUCUGCCUUUCAUGUAAUCUUUUAUUUUUUAAAAUGUAGAAGCGCUACACCACAUGUGUGUGAAAUGAGACUGUGUGUCAAUGAAAGGCAUAAAAAAUUAUUCCAGAAAAAGGCUCUGACUGGAAUAACAACGGAGAAGCCAAGGGGCUCAUGGUUCUAUAACACGUUCAUUCAGAAAAUCACAGGGCAGUGUGACAGCUGGAGUGAGGAAAGACUAGUGGCAAUAUUUUUUUAAGA
Long non-coding RNA from Corvus hawaiiensis (hawaiian crow), 8087 nucleotides. RefSeq lists it as uncharacterized. The record is from RefSeq and is a predicted model, not a curated record. NCBI's taxonomy places the organism in Eukaryota, Metazoa, Chordata, Aves, Passeriformes, Corvidae. The transcript has 3 exons.